This 311-nucleotide long non-coding RNA is filed under the name Triticum aestivum (bread wheat). RNAcentral describes it as "long non-coding RNA (TAES_LNC026711)". Lineage: Eukaryota; Viridiplantae; Streptophyta; Magnoliopsida; Poales; Poaceae. The record is from RNAcentral.
CAGGGGAGUGCGCAAGGAGCUGGGCAUCGACAACUCUCUCCUUCACCCUGUACUUCUGAACCUCAUCCCCUACCUUCCUCUGUGUUCCUCACCUAUGUUCUUCUUCCUUAUCACCUAUCUUCCUGUACUAAUCUGCAGCUUAGUUCUUUCUUGUCAGGUUGUACCAAAUAGACUUGCAAUAAAUAGCAAGCUCGUGAGUAGGGAUGAAAAUGGAACAGAAACGGACGGAAUUGGGUGCUCCCACAUUUGGUUUCAUUUUUUUUUUGUGAAAGUGGAAACAAAUACAUAAACUCAUAUUAUGACGGAGGCAG